GCUGGGCAUGGUGGCGCAUGCCUGUAAUCCCAGCUACUCAGGAGGCUGAGGCAGGAGAAUCACUUGAACCCAGGAGGCGGAGGUUGCAGUGAGCCGAGAUCAUGCCACUGCACUCCAGCCUGGGUGACAGAGUGAGACUCCAUCUCAA
Pongo abelii (Sumatran orangutan) is the source of this 148-nucleotide unclassified non-coding RNA. It matches the Rfam family "Metazoan signal recognition particle RNA". Rfam says of the family: The signal recognition particle (SRP) is a universally conserved ribonucleoprotein. It is involved in the co-translational targeting of proteins to membranes. The record is from Ensembl. Lineage: Eukaryota; Metazoa; Chordata; Mammalia; Primates; Hominidae.